CCCCAGGUCAGGUGGCUACCCGCUGAGUUUAAGCAUUGGCAAUGCCGGAGGAGAAGAACUUACAAGGGAUUCCCUAGUAACGGGCGAGCGAACCGGGAUUCAGCCCAGUUGAGAACGGCGGCUGCGUUGCCUGAAUUAGUUCGCAGAAGCAUCCUUAGCGAUGGCCCAAGUCCCCUGGAAAGGGGCACCGGGAGGUGAGAGCCCCGCCCGCUCGGACCCCUGUCGCACCACACGCACGUCCGGCGAGUCGAUGAGAAUGCAGGUUUGGGAAUGCAGCCCCAAUCUGUAAAUUGGCCCGUUAACAAUAUGGGCGAAGAGACCGAGCAUAAAACAAGUACCGGUGGAGGGGAAAGAUGAAAAGGACUGAAAAAGAGAGUCAAAGAGUGCUUGAAAUUGCCGGAGGGAAGCGGAUGGGGCCGGCGAUGCACUUCGGCCGAUGCGAACGUUAGCCGUCACGGUCGGCCAGCGGAUCGGCGCGGGUGCAUCGGGACGGUCGGCCCGGACGAUCGUUCGCUCGAGGGGAUACCGUCGUUGCGGUUUUGCGACAUGACGCCGGGCAUCGGCAUGCACCGCUGGGUACAUCGCGGUAUAGGCGCGGCCAAAGGCUCUUCAUCCCACCGCAAUGGCCGUUAUCGACCGCUGGAGUUCGAUUACGCGUAUGAAGCCCAUCAAAAGUGAAACCCCGAAGGGCACAAGGAAGAACCGGCGGAAACCCUUUAGGGUUGCACCGCCUCCCGAUCAUCUUUCUUUCGCCUGGAGCAUGGAACAACGUGGGACCAAAGAUGAACUAUGCCUAGGUUAUGGCCAAAGGAAACUUCCGUGGAGGCCCUGCCAUACUGACGCAAAACGUCGCCUGACUUGGGUAUAGGGCGACUUAAUCGAACCAUCUAGUAGUCGUUCCCUCCGGUUUCCUCAGAUAAAGGAGCCCAAUGCUCGAAGUUCCCCCGUAAAGCCAAUGAUUGAGGCAUCAGCAACCAUCUAUUUCAAACUUUAACAGGGACUACGCGGCUAUUUCGCUGCCGCUGAAUCGAGAGCCCGGGCGGGCUAAGGCGAAACGGCAUGGCGGAUGAACCGGGUUGGGUUACGGUGCUCAACUGUAUGCUAACCCGCAUAAUCACCGGGGUGUUGGUCGAUUAAGAGGCAGACAGGUCGUGGAAGCUCAAAAUGGCUAAGGAGUGGUAACAACUCACCUGCCGAAUCAAAUUGAAUUCUCAAAAUGGAUGGCGCUGCCGCCGCCGCACUUAAUUGAAGCAUGACAUGCAGCCAAGCCCUUCGAGUAGUGGUAUUUCGAAACCCAGGGCGCGAGGCCCGGCGACGCCGCCGCCGGUGCAGAUCUUUGGUGGUAGCAAAUAUUCAAAUGAGAACUUUGAAGGCCGAAGAGGGGAAAGUUCCAUGAACGCACGGCAUAAUGGGUUAGUCAUCCCAGGGACGGGAAGCCCGGCUUUUCCCUCUCUUGUUCCAGCGCAGCCCGAAUGGACCGUUGGGUUAAAAUUCGUCGACGCCGCAGCGGACGGCAACGCGUUAGGGGUCCGGAGACGUCCAGCGGGCCCCGGAAGAGUUAUUUUUCUGCUUAACGGCCCGCUUCAUUCGGAAACUACCAAUGGAGGUAGGGUCCAUCGGUCGGAAGAGCCGACGCCGAUCGCCGUCCGCGCCCGGCCCUCAUGCCCUUGAAAAUCCGGAGGAAAGUGCCGCCGCCCGUCGCAUUUCAUAACCGCAUCCAGUUCCAAGGUGAACAGCCUGGCCCAUGGAACAAUGUAGGCAAGGGAAGUCGGGCAAACGGAUCCAGAACUUCGGAAAAAGGAUUGGCUCAGGGGUGGGCACGGGUCCCGCCCAACCCGCCGGGUUGUCGGGCGACUGUUUCGAAGCUACCGCGGCGAGGGCCGCGCCGUCGUGGAUGGGAUCGAACGGGAAUGGCUCCUCGGGGCCUUCGGCCGAACAGCCGAUCGCCAGAACUGGUACGAUAAGGGGAAUCCACUGUUUAAUUAAAACAGCAUUGCGAUGGUCUCCGCGAUGCUCAAUGUGAUUUCUGCCCAGUGCUCUGAAAUGUCAAAAGUGAAGAAAAUUCAACCAAGCGCUGGUAAACGGGCGCGGAGUAACUUACUUUCUUUAAGAUAGCAAAUGCCUCACAUCUAAUAAGUGAGACAUGAAUGAAUGGAUUAACCAGGACCCCAAUGUCCCUGUUCACAUCCAGCUGUAAAACCACAGCCAAGGAACGGGUUUGGCAGAAUCAGCCGGGAAGAAGACCCUGUUGAGCUUGGACUCUAGUCCCACUUUUUGUGAAAUGACUUGAGAGGUGUAGGAUAAGUGGGGAGCAGGUUCGGCCGUGAAGUGAAAUACCACCACUACUUUUAACGUUAUUUUAUUUAUUCCGGAGUCGGAGGGAGGGGCCCGCCCUCCACCCGACCCGCCCUUUGAAGGGCCAAUCCAUGGAAGACAUUGUCAGUGGGGGAGUCUGGGGCGGCACAUCUGUUAAAAGAUAACGCAGGUGUCCUAUGAUGAGCUCAACGAGAACAGAAAUCAGGGUGGAACAAAAGGUAAAAGCUCGCUUGAUUUUGGAUUUCAGCACUUAUCAUCAACCGUGAAAAAAGUGGCCUAUCGAUCCUUUAGACCUUCGGAAUUUGAAGCUAGAGGUGUCAGAAAAGUUACCACAGGGAUAACUGGCUUGUGGGGCCAAGCCGCCUCAUAGCGACGUUGCUUUUUUGAUCCUUCGAUGCCGCUCUUCCCAUUGUGAAGCAGAAUUCACCGCGUUGAUUGUUCACCCACCAAUAGGGAACGGAGCUGGCUUAGACCGUCCGGAGACAAGUUAGUUUUACCUCGUGAUGAUCGAGGUCUAUAGUAAUUCAACCUAGUACGAGGAACCGCUGAUUCACAGCCAAUUGGUCAUCGCUUGGUUGAAAAGCCAGUGGCGCCGGUUACCGCGGUGUCGGAUUAUGACUGAACGCUUUAAGUCAGAAUCUCUAGCUAGCAAACGGCGCUUCGGCCGUUCGUCGCUUCCCGAAUGGCUGUAGGGGCCUUUAGCCCCCAUGGGCUCAUGUCGCCGGGUAGCCUCGCGAGGUAUAGCCACGGCCGGUCAUCGGAAGUGAAAUUCGCGACGGAUCUACUGGGUCAAUCUUUUGCAGACGACUUAAAUACGCCGAUGGGGCAUUGUGGGUGGUAGAGUGGCCUUGCGCCACCAUCCACUGAGAUCCAGC
RNAcentral lists this ribosomal RNA (3191 nucleotides) under Musa schizocarpa. RNAcentral describes it as "eukaryotic LSU rRNA". It matches the Rfam family "Eukaryotic large subunit ribosomal RNA". The record is from RNAcentral. Lineage: Eukaryota; Viridiplantae; Streptophyta; Magnoliopsida; Zingiberales; Musaceae.